Cebus imitator (Panamanian white-faced capuchin) is the source of this 69-nucleotide small nucleolar RNA. Lineage: Eukaryota; Metazoa; Chordata; Mammalia; Primates; Cebidae. The record is from RefSeq and is a predicted model, not a curated record.
UCUCGGUGAUGAGAACUUUAUCAAGUUAUGCUACAGACAUUUAGUGAUGAUAAAGUAUGUCUGAGGAUA